RNAcentral lists this ribosomal RNA (504 nucleotides) under uncultured bacterium. RNAcentral describes it as "partial 16S ribosomal RNA". It matches the Rfam family "Bacterial small subunit ribosomal RNA", at positions 28 to 506 of the family's 1533-position model. The record is from RNAcentral.
GACGAACGCUGGCGGCGUGCCUAAUACAUGCCAGUAGAACGCACAGUUUAUACCGUAGCUUGCUACACCAUAGACUGUGAGUUGCGAACGGGUGAGUAACGCGUAGGUAACCUGCCUGGUAGCGGGGGAUAACUACUGGAAACGAUAGCUAAUACCGCAUAAUAUUAAUUAUUGCAUGAUAAUUAAUUGAAAGGUGCAAUUGCACCACUACCAGAUGGACCUGCGUUGUAUUAGCUAGUAGGUGAGGUAACGGCUCACCUAGGCGACGAUACAUAGCCGACCUGAGAGGGUGAUCGGCCACACUGGGACUGAGACACGGCCCAGACUCCUACGGGAGGCAGCAGUAGGGAAUCUUCGGCAAUGGACGAAAGUCUGACCGAGCAACGCCGCGUGAGUGAAGAAGGUUUUCGGAUCGUAAAGCUCUGUUGUAAGAGAAGAACGAGUGUGAGAGUGGAAAGUUCACACUGUGACGGUAUCUUACCAGAAAGGGACGGCUAACUACGU